AGAAUCAACGCUGGCGGCGUGCCUAACACAUGCAAGUCGAACGAGAAAGUGGUAGCAAUACCAUGAGUAAAGUGGCGCACGGGUGAGUAACACGUGACUAACCUACCCUUGAGUGGGGGAUAACUGAGGGAACCUUAGCUAAUACCGCAUAAUACCCACGGGUCAAAGGAGCAAUUCGCUCGAGGAGGGGUCGCGGCCGAUUAGUUAGUUGGCAGGGUAAUGGCCUACCAAGACGAUGAUCGGUA
RNAcentral lists this ribosomal RNA (245 nucleotides) under uncultured bacterium. RNAcentral describes it as "partial small subunit ribosomal RNA". It matches the Rfam family "Bacterial small subunit ribosomal RNA", at positions 26 to 285 of the family's 1533-position model. The record is from RNAcentral.